This 443-nucleotide ribosomal RNA is filed under the name uncultured bacterium. RNAcentral's name for it is "partial 16S ribosomal RNA". It matches the Rfam family "Bacterial small subunit ribosomal RNA", at positions 338 to 795 of the family's 1533-position model. The record is from RNAcentral.
CCUACGGGUGGCAGCAGUGGGGAAUAUUGGGCAAUGGGCGCAAGCCUGACCCAGCAACGCCGCGUGAAGGAAGAAGGCCUUCGGGUUGUAAACUUCUUUUCUCAGGGACGAAGCAAGUGACGGUACCUGAUGAAUAAGCCACGGCUAACUACGUGCCAGCAGCAGCGGUAUUACGUAGGUGGCAAGCGUUCUCCGGAUUUACUGGGUGUAAAGGGCGUGUAGGCGGGACUGCAAGUCAGAUGUGAAAACCACGGACUCAACCGGUGGCCUGGAGUUGAAACUGUAGUUCUUGAGUACUGGAGAGGCAGGCGGAAUUCCUGGUGUAGCGGUGAAAUGCGUAGAUAUUAGGAGGAACACCAGUGGCGAAGGCGGUCUGCUGGAGAGCAACUGACGCUGAGGCGCGAAAGCGUGGGGAGCAAACAGGAUUAGAUACCCUUGUAGUC